AACGAACGCUGGCGGCAGGCCUAACACAUGCAAGUCGAACGCUCCGCAAGGGGAGUGGCGCACGGGUGAGUAACACGUGGGAACCUACCUUCUGGUACGGAACAACCAAGGGAAACUUUGGCUAAGACCGUAUACGACCUCCGGGUGAAAGAUUGAUCGCCGGAAGAGGGGCCCGCGUCCGAUUAGGUAGUUGGUGAGGUAACGGCUCACCAAGCCUUCGAUCGGUAGCUGGUCUGAGAGGAUGACCAGCCACACUGGGACUGAGACACGGCCCAGACUCCUACGGGAGGCAGCAGUGGGGAAUAUUGGACAAUGGGCGAAAGCCUGAUCCAGCCAUGCCGCGUGAGUGAAGAAGGCCUUAGGGUUGUAAAGCUCUUUCAGCGGGGAAGAUAAUGACGGUACCCGCAGAAGAAGCCCCGGCUAACUUCGUGCCAGCAG
This 438-nucleotide ribosomal RNA is filed under the name uncultured bacterium. RNAcentral's name for it is "bacterial SSU rRNA". It matches the Rfam family "Bacterial small subunit ribosomal RNA", at positions 29 to 514 of the family's 1533-position model. The record is from RNAcentral.